UGCAAGUCGAGGGGCAGCAUGGUCUUAGCUUGCUAAGGCCGAUGGCGACCGGCGCACGGGUGAGUAACACGUAUCCAACCUGCCGUCUACUCUUGGACAGCCUUCUGAAAGGAAGAUUAAUACAAGAUGGCAUCAUGAGUCCGCAUGUUCACAUGAUUAAAGGUAUUCCGGUAGACGAUGGGGAUGCGUUCCAUUAGAUAGUAGGCGGGGUAACGGCCCACCUAGUCUUCGAUGGAUAGGGGUUCUGAGAGGAAGGUCCCCCACAUUGGAACUGAGACACGGUCCAAACUCCUACGGGAGGCAGCAGUGAGGAAUAUUGGUCAAUGGGCGCAGGCCUGAACCAGCCAAGUAGCGUGAAGGAUGACUGCCCUAUGGGUUGUAAACUUCUUUUAUAAAGGAAUAAAGUCGGGUAUGUAUACCCGUUUGCAUGUACUUUAUGAAUAAGGAUCGGCUAACUCCGUGCCAGCAGCCGCGGUAAUACGGAGGAUCCGAGCGUUAUCCGGAUUUAUUGGGUUUAAAGGGAGCGUAGAUGGAUGUUUAAGUCAGUUGUGAAAGUUUGCGGCUCAACCGUAAAAUUGCAGUUGAUACUGGAUAUCUUGAGUGCAGUUGAGGCAGGCGGAAUUCGUGGUGUAGCGGUGAAAUGCUUAGAUAUCACGAAGAACUCCGAUUG
This 670-nucleotide ribosomal RNA is filed under the name uncultured Bacteroidales bacterium. RNAcentral describes it as "bacterial SSU rRNA". It matches the Rfam family "Bacterial small subunit ribosomal RNA", at positions 56 to 715 of the family's 1533-position model. Lineage: Bacteria; Pseudomonadati; Bacteroidota; Bacteroidia; Bacteroidales. The record is from RNAcentral.